GCUGUAAUAAAUCAAUAAUCGGGUAACUACACUGUUCUAAGUACGUGGUUUAGAGGGGAAUCCUAUCGUCUUUGCACAUUCGGAUAAAAGGCAGGCCAAUUCAGUUCAUGCACAAGUUGUAAGCUACAAAUCUAUGAAGAUGUACAAGAAAGUGUUCGUUUUAGCUGUAGUUUUGUCCGUAGUAUUUGCAAUGGGGUCAGCCGCAUCCUUUCAAGGAGAAUCUAUGGGUCAGAUCGUUCGUGAGAAACGAAGCACUCCUCUAUGCAAGGUAUCCUGCGAAGAAGAUUGCCGUUUGAAAGGGAAAACGGGAGGCGAUUGCAUUAACGGAUUUUGCGUAUGUCCGGAUUAAAAAUAAUCUAAAAAUGCUUGCUUUCAAGUGUUACAAAUAAAAAAGCGAGUAAAAAAGCUUCAUUAUAUAAAUGUUUUGUUUUUAUGUAGAUUGCGGUCAAUAGGUUAUAAUGACGGUCAUACGGAUACCGUACUCCAGCCAAAUAAAUGUAUUCCUUUACAAGUAA
Long non-coding RNA from Photinus pyralis (common eastern firefly), 515 nucleotides. RefSeq lists it as uncharacterized. The record is from RefSeq and is a predicted model, not a curated record. The transcript has 3 exons. Lineage: Eukaryota; Metazoa; Arthropoda; Insecta; Coleoptera; Lampyridae.